Molecule: non-coding RNA, 7297 nt
Organism: Podarcis lilfordi (Lilford's wall lizard)
Lineage: Eukaryota; Metazoa; Chordata; Lepidosauria; Squamata; Lacertidae
Source: the annotation of a GenBank genome assembly
GUUCCUUUCCAUUGUCUCCUAUAUGGUGAAUUCUAGUUACACCUGCAUUUUUGGUAGUUAGGUUAUCCCAAGCACCACAGGAAGAACCAGUAAACAGUUAUGAUGCAGCUUAACUGUAUCAGAAAAGCACCCAGCCAAUUUGGUUGCCAAUAAAUAUUCUUGCAGACAUUUUUGAGAUAAUGGUCUUUCUAAUGAGUGGCUUUGUUAAUUGUCUUACUUGAAAUGUUGUGAUGAUCCUAUGCCCUUUUAAAAUAUGGUUUUGGGUAGUGGGGGGUUAUUAGGGUUGUUGUUUUUAUUUUGAUGAUGUAUUUUGUGGUUUUAUAUUUUGAUUUUAUUCCAUUAAGUGCCCUGAGACGUCGGGGUAUAGGGUUGUAUAUAAAUUCAAUUAAUAAUAAUAAUCCCACUUCCCACCAUCCACAUGCCCCUUUUUGUCCAUUUACACUGGCAUGAUUUGCACCAGCUCUCUAUCAACUAGCAUAAUUAGAUAAAACUGGAGGUGGGGGGGGGGGAGGUAGCAGUGAGAGGAGAGAGACAGACACCCCAUCCCUUCCUGCAGCACUACAUAAGUAAAUCUGACUCUAUACAAUGGGCCUACUCUCAAGUGUAUUUACAUAGGAUUAUCACUGCGGCAGGAAUUAUAUCUUUAUAUUGCUUUUAAUUAUCACCUGCCCCAGGAAGGUGACCUUUGCGAAAUGAAAUUCGCAAGGCUGCGUUGCAAGAUCAGAAAUACCGAAUAUAAAAGUGGUAGGCAAGGGGUAAAGGGUGGCGACAGCCCACAGCACAGAAACGGCUCCCCGCUCCCCAUUGCCUUUUAAUUUCGUGGCGGGGGGGGCGGAGAGAGAGCGAGCAGGGGACCCUUAUCAGCCGCACUCAAUAGAAAUCAUACCCCACCACAUACCCGGCUAUUAAAACUCCCUCCUCUUGCCAAGCGGCGCGUGGGGGGCAGGCGCUGAGGGAAGGCCCCAACGGCUUUCCCCCCUCAACCGUCACUGCGUCCGCCUCGAGUUUUAAGCGUUGCCGCCUCCCGGGAGGGUCACGUGGCGUGACGGCCUGCGAUUGGUCCGUGCUUCCCAGCGCGGAGAGGGAGGUGGAGCGGCGGGUGGUUGCCUAGGCUACGAGAGGGAGCUGCGGGGCAGAAAGAGAGGCGGCGGGUGGGCUGGUUGGCUGGCGGAGGCGGAGGAGCCGCUGUGGGGCUGGAUGGGAGCCUCGCGCAGCGGCGGCGGCAGCAGCAGCCGGUGGCGGGCGGCUGGCGUAACUUUUAACGGUCACGGACACCCCGCCGCCUCUAAGCUUUUUCUUUUCUUUUCUGGUGGGUUUUGCUGCGUUCGCCGAGCCAAGUUCGCCGAGCCACGAUGACGGUGAGGCACCCGUCGCCCUGGAGCUGAGGGAGAGGGAUGAGCCCUUUUGCGUUCGCGAGGUGACCAGAAAGGCGUCGGCAGCAGCGGGGCUGAGGGAAAGGCGGAGGCGGGAGGGAGGCUUUUAUAGGAAGGGUUUGCCUUGGCUGGGAGGCUGAGGGAGCAGUCAGCGCCGAGAACGUGGCUAGCUGCUCGAUAUUGGGAUUUAUUUCCCAACUUUUGUAUGCCGCCUUUCUCCCGCUGCGCAACCCAAGGCGGAAUACACGCGGUGUCCAGUUCUUCCGCCCCCUAGAAGGUGGUGGGUGGUCGUCCUCAGACCAUGCUUUCUGAUUGUGUUAUGCCAGCCAGGGGAGGGAUGGUUUCAGUACCCAGGGUGGUUUCAGAUCUGUUAAGGUCACCUAGUGAAAGCCUUGUUUGUGGUGGCGCCCUGACUUGAGAAGUCCCCUUCCUAGGGAUGUUUCCUUAGUUAUACUUGACUCCCUCCUCUUAUUCUGAGCUUUUAAUUUCCGACAAUCUUUUUAUAUGGCUUUGCUAUUGUUCUGCUGCGUGGUUUUGUUUUUGGGGAUGUGUUAAUGUUUAACCCCAACCCCCCACAGCAAUCUGUAAUUGUAAGAUGCUCUGUGGGUUCUUAUGCCCCCACCUUUCAGUUUUAUGUUGGUACAAUCCUGUGUGUGUUUUCUUGGUAUUAAGUAUCAAUGUGCCCAGUGGGGCUUGCUUCCGGAUAAGGAUUUCAGUGUGUAGCUCUUAAAUAGUUGAAACCCUGGUGUGUCAAUGCAGUUUGCUGGUGCUGCCUGCUGAAUUCUCACUUAAAGUUGCUCUCUUUCCAGUCAAGAGACUUUGAGUGGAAUUGUCCUUUCUUCUUUGUUACUAUGCUAUGUGUCUCUUCUGCCCAUAACGAGCAAGCCUAAAGAGGAAAUUUAAAUUGUACUUACAGAAUUAUACCCACUCAAACAAAGGCUGUCAAUGCCCAGAUAAAAAGGCAGGUCUUAAAUACAGAAUAUUGGAGUAUGGGUAUAACUAUGCUAUCAAACAAGAUAGAUGCUUAAGAACAGAUAACCUCAGAACUUUAAUUUAAACCCAAAUGCCUGGAUGGAGCACCAGAAGUGGCAAAAUUACUUCAGGCAAGUUCAAAUAAAUGAAGGAUUAUUUGGCUUUCCAAAUGGGACAACGUUGCAACCAGAUAGCAGAUAGCCCUCAAAUAGUGCAAAUUAGCAAAAUUGUGUUGAGGGGUAACAACAACCAAUCCAGUUGGAGAUUUUGUAGCACAUAAAGCUUCCCAAACAGGUUGCUUCAAAUUGGGCAGUCUCUCCCAUGCCAGAUGUCCACAGGGAAUGGUGUUGGUGGAUGCAACCACCAACCUUUAACUUAGUGGAAUAGAGAGACCAGGAAUAUGCCUGUACAGAAGAAAUUGGACCAAAACUUCCAUAGGUAUGGUAUACCCAGAGCUAUGGCGAUGGCAACAACAAACCCAUGGUUUGAGCUUAACAAAGAUAACAGACAUGGGUGCCUUCUGUUCCUCUGCCUUAAAUUGAAGGGUUCAAAAUAGUUGACAAUUUAAAUAAGCUCAAAUAUACACAUAGAUGUUGCUGAUAUACAUGUGCAACCUCCCUUACUUUGAAUGUUGAAUUUGACAAAUUCAAAAGUAUCUCUAAUUAUAAAGUAGCCUUUAGUAAAUCAGCAGUAAUAAAUGUUACUACUUCAAAAGUAAGAAAGAAUUGUUUGAAUAUAAGAACAGAAGAAGAGCUUGCUGGAUCAGGCCAAUGCGCAAGGUUUAUACCUUAUUUCGUGGUAUGAUAAAUCAUGAUAACAGAUGGGAGUGUAUGCUAACUGGCAAUAACUUUACCAGUUGAACUAUGGCCCAUUAUACACUAUGUCAGAAAGGGAUUUGAAGCACUGGCCUUUGGGGAAAAAAAAUCUGCUGGCAUGGAUUGUACGUAAUAGUAAGUACACGUGUUGCUAAGGCUGCUGAGUUUUUUUCCUUGCCCUUAAGUUGUCAGGAAAAGCCUUAACAAAGUAGUAGUGCCUGGUUAGCUAUUUUGUCGUGUGUUGGUAAAAAAAAUAAAUCAGACUACAUAGAAGUAAGUUCUAAAGGUCUGUGGCUGUGUGGGAUCUUGAUGUUCCUUUUUUUGGCUCAAUAUGCUGCUUGGCAUUACCCUUAAUUGCAGAUUUAUUAGAAGUUGAUUCAACAAUCUGCAGUUGACUCUUUGCCUUUGGAUGUGUUGGUGUGGUUAGGGAGAAAAGACAGACCUCAUAUUUGCCAAGUCACCCAUUCAUUUACCUUUCAUUUCUGGAAUGGGUUCUCAUAUUUAACCUAAUUUAUUGGAAUUUAGAAAUAUGGGGGAGUAAUUCAUUAACUACCUAAAAAACUUUAUUUGUUCAAAAGACCUUUAUACUUUUUAGCAUAACAAAAAGAGGAGCAGAAGUAUUUUGCCAAUCUAUCAAUAUAACCCUUGAGAUCUACCAUUCCAAAGUGUAGGAAACGUAGUAGGAUAGACAUGUUCUUCCAGAUGUGCUGGGAGUAUUUAAAAAAAAUGGGAUUUGGUAUUGGCAAAAUGGGAAAAUUUUGAAGUGUGUUGUUUAUAAGGAGUGUAGAUUCAUGCAAUUCUAUGUUAUUGACACUGGCCAUCUUCUGCACUUGCAUUGUUGUUGUUGUUUAGUCGUCUUAUGGUAUUCUUUUUUUCCCUGGUGCCUAAAAUAGUAUGGAUAAGUGGAGGUUUUAAUCUUUUCUCAAACGUAAGAAUUGCAUGGGGAAAGUGUGAGACGUAAUAGUUUAUCAAAAGCUUAUGUGUCAAGGAGGCCAGGACUCAAUAGUCAAGUAUCUUUAUUAUACAUUGUUCCUCUUCUCUUUGCAUGUGAAAUCUAAAGAAAAUACAUUGGUGAUAUGAAUGUAGGAGCCUUUAUUGAUGUCAAGUUUGUGCAACUAGGUUUAUAAGUUGAGGAGGCUGGGGGAAGCAGAUAGAAGGUGCUGAGUGGGAUAGAUUAAUGCUUUAUUGAUUUAUUACACGUUGUAUUUUGCUAAUUGCAGAAGCUAAUCUCCAUGACAUCUGUUUAUAUUUUCUUGUAGCUACAUAAAUAUGUAUUAUGUUAUCCACCUGAGCUGUUUGUGUUGUGUUGUCUGGCUUAUUAGCUCCAUAGUGUUUUCCUUGUGUUAACUGUAUGUAAUUGACAUAAAUACAAAAUAUAUUUGCUGUAAAGUAAGAUCAGGAAAUGCAUACAGUGAAAUUAUACCAAAGUACCACACAUGAAUACCUGAAAUUAGAUGAUAGCAGAAACAUUUUAGAGUGACAGUACAGUAAUUUCAACCAUUUCAAUUUAUGAUUUCAGUGUAGCUAAGCCUAUCCAGAACACUAAUCAAGAAACAGUACAGCCAUAACAAACUUCCAAUACAUUUGAAGUUGCUCAUAUUUACUAUUUCCUCAACGGUGAAACCUAUUCCCUGUUAUUUAGCCCAGUGUUUUCAAAACUAGGGGGACUUUAAAAAAAUUAUUUUGUGAUAUGGUGUUAGGGUCUAAAUAAUAAUUAAAAAAGUGCAAUCCCACUGGGGAUGCCAAAGACUUUGGGCAUCCCUAAAAUAGCUCUUUCCUGUGGUCUAAACCACUGAGCCUAGGGCUUGCCAAUCGGAAGGUCAGCGGUUCGAUUCCCCAUGACGAGGUGAGUUCCCAUUGCUCGGUCCCAGCUCCUGCCAACCUAGCAGUUCAAAAGCACGUCAAAGGUCAUGUAGAUAAAUAUGUACCACUCUGGUGGGAAGGUAAAGGGCGUUUCUGUGCGCUGCUCUGGUUUCGCCAGAAGCGGCUUAGUCGUGCUGGCCACAUGACCUGGAAAAACUGUCUGUGGACAAACGUCAGCUCCCUUGGCCACUAAAGUGAGAUGAGUGCCGCAACCCCAGAGUCAUUCACAACUGAACUUAACUGUCAGGGGUCCUUUACCUUUACCUUUUUAUCCUAGCUAUUGUGCACUGCUUAAACUUGGGGUGGGGUGGGGUUCUUGCAUCCCCACCAGUUCAUUUAGAAUUCCUGGGUAGCCUGAGGACAAUGCUAAGUGGAAAAACAACAAGUAUUAAACAGACUCUUCUCUUCUCCCAAAUCUGAUUCUCCAAAUAAGAUUUCAGACUCCUACAGAUGCUUUUGAUUUUAAGAAAUUAGGGUUGGCAUACACACAACUUAUAUGAAAGCUAUAUUUUAAACUUAGUUUCUGCUUUUGAAACUACUUACCCCUGAAUGUUCUUAUCUAUCUGUCACACCAACUCAGUGAGGUAGGUAAGGCUGAGAGACUGUGACUGGCCCAAGUUAGUUUCACGGCUUAGGGGUUUGAGCCCUAAUUUCCUCUGUCCUAUUCUAAUAGUCUAACCACUGCACCACUUACAAAUAGAAGUGCAGUAAUAGUAAAGCAACAAAGAAUAGUUAGCUUGAAUAGUUAGUGGUAUUAUUUUUACUUACUUAUUGCAUUUAUACCCCACCUUUUAUCCAAGGAGCUCAAGGUAGCGCACAUAGUUCUGCCCCUUCUUUAAUCCCAUCAAACCAGGUGAGGGUAGCUGAUGGAUCUCAAACCCUUCAUGAGUUAGGGGCUUCUCCUGUUUAUGAAGACAGUCUCUGGCAGAUUGAGCAGACAAGACCAACAGUGGAUCCAAUGGUCAAUAAGGUGGUUUCUGGACUUUCUGUAGAGGGAAGUGAGGGGCAGAUGGGGUUUGUCACCCUGGGAAGGUAGCCCAUCUAGGAGAAGGAAAACACUGAUCCUAAACCUCCGUGGCCUUGCGGGAUAACUUCAGAAGAACAAAAGGCUAAGAACUACCAUAAACCCUACACAAAUCUGGAGUGGAGUCUCUAAGAUGUUUGGAUGGUACCGCCUUCCAGCAACUCCUGCAGCCAAGCUGGUGCCAAAUGUGUUGCUCUGCUUUCCUUUGGACCACAUCAGCAAGGCCGGGGAGGAGGUGUCUUGUCGCCAAUCCAGGACCUCCAUACACACUGCCCAGGCUUGUGCUCUGGGAAGGUCACUUCAGUGCUGCUAACACAGCAGUUUGACUUCAUCCCUGGAGGCACACUCCAUUGUCUAUUGAGAUAGAUGGAUGCCAACAACCCUGUGAAGUAGGUUAGCCUGACAGGCAGUGACUGUUCCAAGGUCACUUAGUGAGCUUCAUGGUUGAGUGGGGUUUUGAAUCCUGGUCUCCCUGGUCUUAGGCCAAUACUCUAACCACAACACCAUACUGACAUAGCAUGUGGUACUUCAGCUUUGUGGGGAGACGAAUAGAGGCAGGGGGAUUGAACAUGUCAACUUAAUACUACGACCCUCCACACUGUUCUCUCUCUCUCUCUCUUUGUCUUCCCUACCCACUUACCCAAAAGAAACCUAGUUUGUAAGGGAGCAAACUAUACGUGACAUACCUGGGACAAAGUUUCAUUGAACUAGUGGGGCUUGUGAGUAUAUUGCCUAGGACUGCACUGUUAGUCCCUCGAGGAAGAGAUCUGUCUUUGCUUCCACUUUGAAAAGUACUAUAAUAAAUAAUAAAUAAUAAAUUUUAUUUAUAUCCCGCCCUUCCCAGCCGAAGCUGGGCUCAGGGCGGCUAACAACAAUAAAAUAAAAUAAAGCAAUAUGCACAUUGACAGCGCUAUGAAAAUAAUUAUAAAAACCUUACAACCUAUUUGUUUGCCUAUUCAUUUUCUGCAUGCACUGCAAACAGAAUAUAGCAUAAGAAGUCUGAGGUUUUUGAAUAUUUCAAGCUUUAUAAGAUAUUUUAUCUCUAACUUAAGCUGAUCAUUUUUAUUUGUCAUGUUAUUAUUAUUUAUUGAAUUUAUAUACCACCCUAUACCCGGCAGUCUCAGGGCAGUUCACAUACUGUGUUCAUACUGUUAGUGAUAUGGGCUGUACAAGGUUUUUAAAAUGCUUAGUGACCAUUUUUUCUAAAGCAAUGUAAUGGAAUAACAGUUUUUAGUUAUUCUAAACCAUAC